CAGUCGCCGCGGUAAUACGAGGGGGGCAAGCGUUGUUCGGAAUUAUUGGGCGUAAAGGGCGCGUAGGCGGUUUGGCAAGUUUCGUGUGAAAUCUUCGGGCUCAACUCGAAGUCUGCACGGAAAACUGCCGGGCUUGAGUAUGGGAGAGGUGAGUGGAAUUUCCGGUGUAGCGGUGAAAUGCGUAGAUAUCGGAAGGAACAUCUGUGGCGAAGGCGACUAUCUGGGCCAACACUGACACUGAGGCACGAAAGCGUGGGGAGCAAACAGGAUUAGAUACCCUAGUAGUCCCUGUCUCUUAUAC
This 301-nucleotide ribosomal RNA is filed under the name uncultured bacterium. Its description in RNAcentral is "partial 16S ribosomal RNA". It matches the Rfam family "Bacterial small subunit ribosomal RNA", at positions 509 to 807 of the family's 1533-position model. The record is from RNAcentral.